AGGAUUCCCCUAGUAACGGCGAGUGAAGCGGGAAGAGCUCAAAUUUGUAAUCUGGUACCCUCGGGUGCCCGAGUUGUAAUCUCGAGAAGUGUUUUCCGUGCUAGACCGCAUAGAAGUCUGUUGGAAUACAGCGUCAUAGUGGUGAGAACCCAGUCAGUGAUGCGGAUGCCUAGUACUUUGUGAUACACUUUCGAAGAGUCGAGUUGUUUGGGAAUGCAGCUCAAAUGGGGUGGUAAAUUCCAUCUAAAGCUAAAUAUUGGCGAGAGACCGAUAGCGAACAAGUACCGUGAGGGAAAGAUGAAAAGCACUUUGGAAAGAGAGUUAACAGUACGUGAAAUUGUUGGAAGGGAAACGCUUGAAGUCAGACUUGCUAGUCGGAAUUCAGCCGCAAGGUGUAUUUUUCGAUGUGCAGGCCAGCAUCAGUUUUGGGGGACGAAAAAGGGUAGGGGGAAGGUAGCAGUUUCGGCUGUGUUAUAGCCCCGUACUGGAUUCGUCUUCCGGGACUGAGGAACGCAGUACGCUUUUAGCGGGACCUUCGGGUCCUUCGUACUUAGGAUGCUGGUGGAAUGGCUUUAAACGACCCGUCUUG
RNAcentral lists this ribosomal RNA (589 nucleotides) under uncultured fungus. Its description in RNAcentral is "eukaryotic LSU rRNA". It matches the Rfam family "Eukaryotic large subunit ribosomal RNA", at positions 71 to 656 of the family's 3401-position model. Lineage: Eukaryota; Fungi. The record is from RNAcentral.